This 188-nucleotide unclassified non-coding RNA is filed under the name soil metagenome. RNAcentral's name for it is "partial internal transcribed spacer 1". The record is from RNAcentral.
CAGAGCUGCAAAACUCCCACAAACCAUCGCGAAUCUUACCCGCACGGUUGCCUCGGCGCUGGCGGUCCGGAAGGCCCUCGGGCCCCCCGGAUCCUCGGGUCUCCCGCUCGCGGGAGGCUGCCCGCCGGAGUGCCGAAACCAAACUCUUGAUAUUUUAUGUCUCUCUGAGUAAACUUUUAAAUAAGUCA